AGCUGGAUCGAGACGCCCUCCUCGAUCAAGUCCAUCGACUCCAGCGACUCGGGGAUUUACGAGCAGGCCAAGCGGAGGCGGAUCUCGCCGGCCGACACGCCCGUGUCCGAGAGUUCGUCCCCGCUCAAGAGCGAGGUGCUGGCCCAGCGGGACUGCGAGAAGAACUGCGCCAAGGACAUUAGCGGCUACUAUGGCUUCUACUCGCACAGCUAGGCCGCCCCUGCCCGCCCGGCAGCCGAAUAGGAUUUAGGACGUGGAAUCCUGUUUCGGACUAGCAGAAACUUACUGAACAGUUUGUUUCAAAAAUCAGGUUGUUUCUGUCUUUUUAGGACCGACUUACAUCACUGGAGCUUUUAAAUUGUAGUAAUUUAGGGUCUAUAGAUAACUUUCUGAACCUCUUAUCCCCCGCAGUUAACAUUUUCAUAUAAAUCUCACUGCUACAACUCUUUGUGACCCACCUUUUUUUGGGGUGUUAUUGAGUAUUUAUAUUUUUAGCGCUGAAGCUUUAAAGGAUGCUCUACUUUCUGCUUAAGAUGCAGGUUUGGAACAAAAGCUUCGUU
Homo sapiens (human) is the source of this 560-nucleotide long non-coding RNA. The record is from Ensembl. NCBI's taxonomy places the organism in Eukaryota, Metazoa, Chordata, Mammalia, Primates, Hominidae.